ACGACGGCCGAAUUCAUAGCUGUUAUCGCGUGAUCGUCCUUGACUCGCGACUUUGAUCCUGGUUCAAGGAUGAACGCUAGCGACAGGCUUAACACAUGCAAGUCGAGGGGCAGCGAGGGAGUGGCAACACUUCUGUCGGCGACCGGCGCACGGGUGAGUAACGCGUAUGCAACCUGCCCUUCACAGGGGGAUAACCGGGAGAAAUUCCGACUAAUACCGCAUACGUCCCCUGGGGGCAUCCCCUGGGGAUGAAAGAAUUAUCGGUGAAGGAUGGGCAUGCGUGAUAUUAGGUAGUUGGCGGGGCAACGGCCCACCAAGCCCACGAUAUCUAGGGGUUCCGAGAGGAAGGUCCCCCACAUUGGUACUGAGACACGGACCAAACUCCUACGGGAGGCAGCAGUGAGGAAUAUUGGUCAAUGGACGAGAGUCUGAACCAGCCAAGUCGCGUGAAGGAAGACGGAUCUAUGGUUUGUAAACUUCUUUAGUGCGGGAACAAAGCGGCGUCGUGACGCCGGAUGAGUGUACCGCAAGAAUAAGCAUCGGCUAACUCCGUGCCAGCAGCCGCGGUAAUACGGAGGAUGCGAGCGUUAUCCGGAUUUAUUGGGUUUAAAGGGAGCGCAGGCUGCGAGGCAAGUCAGCGGUCAAAUGUCGGGGCUCAACCCCGGCCUGCCGUUGAAACUGUCUUGCUAGAGUUCGAGUGAGGUAUGCGGAAUGCGUUGUGUAGCGGUGAAAUGCAUAGAUAUGACGCAGCACUCCGAUUGCGAAAGGCAGCAUACCAACUCGCGACUGACGCUGAGGCUCGAAAGCGUGGGUAUCGAACAGGAUUAGAUACCCUGGUAGUCCACGCAGUAAACGAUGAAUACUAACUGUUCGGAGGGGCGACCUCUGAGUGGUAAAGC
This 899-nucleotide ribosomal RNA is filed under the name uncultured bacterium. Its description in RNAcentral is "bacterial SSU rRNA". It matches the Rfam family "Bacterial small subunit ribosomal RNA", at positions 1 to 852 of the family's 1533-position model. The record is from RNAcentral.